RNAcentral lists this ribosomal RNA (471 nucleotides) under uncultured bacterium. RNAcentral's name for it is "bacterial SSU rRNA". It matches the Rfam family "Bacterial small subunit ribosomal RNA", at positions 28 to 509 of the family's 1533-position model. The record is from RNAcentral.
GAUGAACGCUAGCGGCAGGCCUAAUACAUGCAAGUCGAACGGUGUCUUCGGACAUAGUGGCGCACGGGUGCGUAACACGUAUGCAACCUACCUUACAUUGGGGGAUAGCCUUUCGAAAGGGAGAUUAAUACCGCAUAAGACAGUAACUAGGCAUCUAGUAGCUGUUAAAGAUUUAUCGAUGUAAGCUGGGCAUGCGUCCAAUUAGCUAGUUGGUGAGGUAACGGCUCACCAAGGCAAUGAUUGGUAGGGGAACUGAGAGGUCAAUCCCCCACACUGGCACUGAGAUACGGGCCAGACUCCUACGGGAGGCAGCAGUAGGGAAUAUUGGGCAAUGGACGCAAGUCUGACCCAGCCAUGCCGCGUGCAGGAUGAAGGCGUUAUGCGUUGUAAACUGCUUUUAUACAGGAAGAAACGACUCUUGCGAGAGGCAUUGACGGUACUGUAUGAAUAAGCACCGGCUAACUCCGUGCA